Molecule: ribosomal RNA, 1018 nt
Filed under: Alphaproteobacteria bacterium
Lineage: Bacteria; Pseudomonadati; Pseudomonadota; Alphaproteobacteria
Description: Bacterial large subunit ribosomal RNA
Rfam family: Bacterial large subunit ribosomal RNA
Source: Rfam by way of RNAcentral
UGGAGGCCCGAACUCAUUGAUGUUGAAAAAUCUCGGGAUGAGCUGUGGUUAGUCCGGUGAAAUGCCAAUCGAACGCAGAGAUAGCUGGUUCUCCCCGAAAUGCAUUUAGGUGCAGCGUUAAGCGUUGUUCAACGGGGGUAGAGCACUGAAUGGGCUAGGGGGCUUACCCGCUUACCGAACCCAACCAAACUCCGAAUACCGUUGUAUAAGCUUGGCAGUGACACGGCGAGUGAUAAGAUCCGUCGUGAAAAGGAAAACAAUCCAGAUCGACAGCUAAGGGCCCUAAACGUGGACUAAGUGUGAAACGAUGUGGGAUCGCGUAAACAGCCAGGAGGUUGGCUUGGAAGCAGCCACCCUUUAAAAAGUGCGUAAUAGCUUACUGGCCGAAUGUGGUCCUGCGCGGAUAAUGUAAGGGGGCUAAAGUCCACUCCCGAAGCUUCGGGCUCGAGUUUAUCUCGAGCGGUAGGGGAGCGUCGCGUUCAGCGGUGAAGCCAGAGCGGAAGUCCUGGUGGAGCGGACGCGAGUGAGAAUGCAGGCAUAAGUAGCGAUAAGACGGGUGAGAAUCCCGUCCGCCGAAAACCCAAGGUUUCUCCGGCUAUGUUCGUCAGACGGAGGUUAGGCGGUCCCUAAGGCGAGGCCAGAAGGCGUAGUCGAUGGAUAUCCGGUCGAGAUUCCGGACCCGCGAUAGGAGCAAUGGGAAGACGCUUUCGGAAUGCUGAUCCCGGACUGUUGGUAGUUCCGGGCUAGUCUUAGGCUGGUCCUCUUGAAAGAUUGGAAGAAAGGCCGAGGACGGGGAAGGGCGCCCUUCGGGGCAAACGAACUCAGGUGAACGAGGGCCGAGAAAAUCCCCUCAGCGUUAAUCCUAUUUGCGACCGUACUGUAAACCGACACAGGUGGGUGAGUCGAGGAGACUAAGGCGUUCGAGAGAACUCUCGUUAAGGAACUAGGCAAACGGGCCCCGUAAGUUCGCGAUAAGGGGCGCCCCGCAAGGGGCCGCAGCGAAGCAUCCCAGGCGACU